Molecule: ribosomal RNA, 414 nt
Filed under: Triticum aestivum (bread wheat)
Lineage: Eukaryota; Viridiplantae; Streptophyta; Magnoliopsida; Poales; Poaceae
Description: partial small subunit ribosomal RNA
Source: RNAcentral
AUGCUUCCCACGCACCCCUCGAAGCCCCUCCUCCGCCCGUUAUUGAUGUCAGCAAGCACGGCAUGGGCGACGCUUAUGAGUGCCAAUUAUUUCAUGAGCAUGAUGAGUGGUUGUGUGUGCAUAGACGGGAUCAACUGCUCGAUGCCAAAUUCUCAAGUAGAAGAUGUCGUGGAGUUGCUUCGCACUCCGUUUGAUAAGGGGCGAAGAUCGGCCAAUUACACGGUGUGUGAGGAUGAGACAUCGGUGAUGGCAUGGGAGAAUGUGACACUUGAUGCGGUCAUGGGAAAUAAUCAAACCGGUGCCAACUGUUGGAAGGACAUUAUGGAGGAAAAUCAUCGCAAUGCAAAGAUGCCCUCCUAUCAGGAUGAAGUAUUUCGAUUUAUGUUGUGCAUUUGGAUGUUGUAUAUAUAUUGA